GGGUGCGAUCAUACCAGCAAUAAUGCACCGGAUUCCAUCAGAACUCCAAAGUUAAGCGUGCUUGGGCGAGAGUAGUACUAGGAUGGGUGACCCCCUGGGAAGUCCUCGUGUUGCACCCC
RNAcentral lists this ribosomal RNA (119 nucleotides) under Daucus carota subsp. sativus. Lineage: Eukaryota; Viridiplantae; Streptophyta; Magnoliopsida; Apiales; Apiaceae. The record is from RNAcentral.